CAUAGGCAUAUUAAAAAAAUUUAAGGUAAGUAAACCUGGUAGUUGCAUUAUAGAGAGAUUAAUCAGGUUACUGUGAAUGCACAAAAGUUGAAGAAGUAAGAGAUUAGAUGUCAGAGUGUCUAGUUAAAGGCCAAUACAAUAGUGUAAAAUCAGGUUAAGUUGAUUGCAGUAAAACAAACCAAUUCAGAAAAAAUUACAAAUAAUCUAACUAGAAAAAAUGAUUAAGGGAGAGGAUUUAGGUUUAGAGGAGCAACUAAGGAGGAGUAAAAAAUGAUAUGAGCUCAGAGCUGGAGAAGAGUGGAAUUAUUCAUGGAAAUUAGAAGGUCAGGAAUGGGGCCAAUUUCUAGAAGAUGUUAGGUUUUAGACGUGAUGAAUCUGAAAUGCUCAUGCUGAGUCUGAAAUGCUCAGACUGUAAAUCACUGGCCUAUACUCUUUACUUUAGUCCAUGCCAUCAGUUGCACCUUGUCUUUUCUAGCCACCUCAAAGUUCUUUCCAAUAAAGGAAGGCUCUUUCACGGUUCUAACUCCCUGAAAAACCAAGUAAAGUCUUCUGAUUCUUGACAUGUUUUGUCUUCAUCUGGAAAGUCAGAUUUAAUCAAACCUACUUCACUUGAAUCAUUUUUUAUUAGUAUAUCAAAAUCUCAACAGAGUUGUCAAUAGUCAAUUUUUUAUUUGUGAUCUUAUUGCAAAAAAAUCUAAAACAAAAAGGUAAUAAAAAUGCAUGUGAAAAUAUCAAUACCAAAACACAUGAAAUAUGUUUGGAGAAAUAAUCCUGACUUGAUCCUGACUAUAAAAUAUAGUUUCUUUUCAAAUUCUGCUAACCUGGAAAUAUAUUUACUUAGUUUUAUCCAGUGUAGAUAGAAUAUUGUACUUUGCUUUUGAAAAGAAAGGUUAAUUUUGGAUGAAAUAGAGUAGGAAAAGUGAGAGCUGAGAAUAACCAGCUUUUAUCUUCUUCCUUCCCGGCCACCGAAAGAAGCCAGUGCCUGGGAUUCUGAGAUGCAGCCACAUCAUAAAGUUUCAUUACUCAAUUGCAGUAGAGAAAACCUCAAAGGAACCACUUCUAAUGGAAACUGCCUCAAUUCCUGGUCAAGUCUCACAGUCUAACCUGGAGGUGCUCUGAGAUGUGACUAAGUUAAGGAUUUUGAGAUGAAGAGACCAUCCUGAAUUAUCUGAGUGGGUCCUGAAUGUCAUCACAAGAAGCCUUAGAAGAGAGAAGCAUGAAAACCAGAAGAGGAGGAAGAGGCAACCGGGCCAUGAAGACAAGAGAUUAGAGUGAUGUGGCCACAAGUCAAGAAGUGCCGGCCUCCAGCAAAAAACUGGAAGUCAGGAGCAGGAUCUCUCCUAGAGCCUGUGGAGGGAAUGUAACCCUGCCAAUAACUUGAUUUUGGCCCAGAGAAACUGACUUCAGACUUCUGGCCUUCAGGAUGGCGAGAGAAUUAAAUCGCUGUUGUUUUUAGCCCAGUAUGUGGUAAUUUUGUUACAACAGCCACAGAAAACUAGUACAGUGGAUUUUUAGCAGUAGAAUUAAAUUAGCAGUGGAUUAAAGAGCAGUAGAAUUGUGAUUUUAUCAACACUUACUGGAUGGCAGAUUUCCUCUGCAGCAGAAGAGAAUAAAAUGUUGCCUAGGUGAUGCUGACCACCAAAACUUCUGCCAUGGACUCAGCAGUGUGAACAGACCCUGGGAAUCUAUGUACACAUAAAACACCAUGAACAUUUUGCAUUUUCUGAUUUGAACUGAAUAGGCGUUCUACUCUGUAAAUAUUUACAAAAAAACUAAAUAUAUAUUUAUGUUAACCCUUUGCUAGAGAUUUUUAAACAAACAAAAAAAUACCAGAUCUUAUUCACCAUUUUUGAUGUCAGUAAAGUGUGUUACGCAAAUUGGCUUCAAAAAUUAAAACCUGUAACAAACUUUGAGUCUUGAAAUGCAUGCUAUGUAUGAUCUUAAAAACAUGUAGGUAGGCUUAUUAGUUCAUAGAGGUUCAUAGUAUUUCAUAUGUUUUUCAGACUAUAUGUAGGGAAUUGCUGACAAAUCUUGGUAUCACUAAAUCCAUUAUCAUGUUCUGAAAUGUCACCAAAUUGAGCCUACAUAUUGUGAAGAGUGAGUGUAUGGCCAUAUAGUGUAUGGCCUCAAGAUUUUGUCUUAUAAUUUAAGUUUCAAUGUCCACACCUCAUCUAAAUUAGGGUACCAUUUGGACUAUCAUGUUUAAUAAAUUU
Molecule: long non-coding RNA, 2213 nt
Organism: Homo sapiens (human)
Lineage: Eukaryota; Metazoa; Chordata; Mammalia; Primates; Hominidae
Source: Ensembl